This 215-nucleotide ribosomal RNA is filed under the name uncultured bacterium. Its description in RNAcentral is "partial 16S ribosomal RNA". It matches the Rfam family "Bacterial small subunit ribosomal RNA", at positions 1288 to 1500 of the family's 1533-position model. The record is from RNAcentral.
UCAGUUCGGAUUGAAGGCUGAAAUUCGCCUUCAUGAAGCUGGAAUUGCUAGUAAUGGCAGGUCAGCAUACUGCCGUGAAUACGUUCCCGGGCCUUGUACACACCGCCCGUCACACCAUGAGAGUUGGGAAUACCCGAAGCCUGUGACCCGACCCAAUAGGGAGGGAGCAGUCGAAGGUGGAGCCGGUAACUGGGGUGAAGUCGUAACAAGGUAUC